This 46-nucleotide non-coding RNA is filed under the name Trichobilharzia regenti. Lineage: Eukaryota; Metazoa; Platyhelminthes; Trematoda; Strigeidida; Schistosomatidae. The record is from RNAcentral.
CUAUUACUGAAGAGUCCAAGAUUAGGAGGAAACAUCUGUUUAAUAC